ACACAGCUACUGUCAAAAGAGAGCAUACAGGAUCUAACUGUGCAAAUCCCUAUAUUUAGCAGACAGUAGCUGCAGACUAAAGAAGGGCCAGCAGUCUUCAACCACAACAUAAGGGUACAUUUUGGCUAUCCAGUUCUCAAAGUGCAGUGAUAAAAUUAGACACCAGGAUAUCGAGGGGCUUGUUAUCUUUCUAGGAGCAAAAUGGAAAAUAUCUAAAAAGAUUAAAAGAACAGUAGACGUACUUUUGUUUGUAAUACUCGGCAUAUGAGCUGUACU
RNAcentral lists this long non-coding RNA (276 nucleotides) under Linum usitatissimum (flax). RNAcentral's name for it is "long non-coding RNA (LUSI_LNC000767)". The record is from RNAcentral. Lineage: Eukaryota; Viridiplantae; Streptophyta; Magnoliopsida; Malpighiales; Linaceae.